Oncorhynchus tshawytscha (Chinook salmon) is the source of this 289-nucleotide long non-coding RNA. NCBI's taxonomy places the organism in Eukaryota, Metazoa, Chordata, Actinopteri, Salmoniformes, Salmonidae. The record is from Ensembl.
UUUAAAGGUAGUGUUUUAUAUAUAUUCUGAUGUUAUUUUAUUUUUAUGGCUGAAUAGGACCUUUAAAGGUAGUGUUUUAUAUAUAUUCUGAUGUUAUUUUAUUUUUAUGGCUGAAAAGGACCUUUAAAGGUAGUGUGUUAUAUAUAAUUUGCCUCCACAGCAACAUCAACACCUGAAUACUUUCACAUACACACCAGAGGAGGCUGGUGGAGGAGCAAUAGGAGGACAGGCUCAGUGUAAAGACUGGAAUGGAAUAAAUGGAACAUCAAACACUUCAUUAAUUUAUUCC